CCAGCCCUCGCCCCGCAGCCUUGCCGGCCAGCGAUGACAUCAACGGGGAAAAGAGGCAGCGGGGCCGCAGCACGCGCAGUAUGUGGGACCCUACCGCCUAUGAGAAGACGCUGGGCAAGGGACAGACAGGGCUUGUAAAGUUGGGGGUUCACUGUGUUACAUGUCAAAAGGUGGCGAUCAAAAUUGUCAACCGAGAGAAACUCAGUGAGUCAGUGCUGAUGAAGGUGGAGAGGGAGAUAGCCAUCCUGAAGCUCAUAGAACACCCGCAUGUUUUAAAGCUGCACGACGUUUAUGAAAAUAAAAAAUAUUUAUACUUGGUGCUAGAACAUGUGUCGGGUGGUGAGCUCUUCGACUAUCUCGUGAAAAAGGGGAGGCUGACCCCCAAGGAAGCGCGCAAGUUCUUCCGACAAAUCAUCUCUGCUCUUGACUUCUGCCACAGUCAUUCAAUAUGCCACAGGGACUUGAAACCUGAAAACCUGCUGCUGGACGAGAGGAACAACAUCCGAAUAGCUGACUUCGGGAUGGCGUCGCUGCAGGUUGGGGACAGCUUGUUAGAAACCAGCUGCGGGUCACCUCAUUAUGCCUGCCCCGAGGUUAUCCGGGGUGAGAAAUACGAUGGCAGGAAAGCAGACGUGUGGAGCUGUGGGGUCAUUCUGUUUGCCUUGUUGGUGGGGGCACUACCUUUUGAUGAUGACAACCUGCGGCAGCUCCUGGAGAAGGUGAAGCGAGGGGUAUUCCACAUGCCACACUUCAUCCCACCUGACUGUCAGAACCUGCUACGAGGCAUGAUUGAAGUUGAUGCCUCCAAGAGGCUGACGCUAGAACACAUUCAGAAACACAUAUGGUAUAUAGGGGGCAAGAAUGAACCGGAGCCAGAGCAGCCCAUCCCCCGAAAGGUGCAGAUCCGAUCCCUUCCAUCCCUGGAGGACAUUGACCCUGAUGUGCUGGACAGCAUGCACUCUCUAGGCUGCUUCCGAGACCGAAAUAAACUCUUACAGGACCUCUUGUCAGAAGAGGAAAACCAAGAAAAAAUGAUCUAUUUUCUCCUCCUUGACCGGAAAGAAAGGUAUCCCAGCCACGAGGAUGAGGACCUCCCUCCACGGAAUGAAAUAGACCCCCCCAGGAAGCGUGUGGACUCCCCGAUGUUGAAUAGACAUGGAAAGAGGAGGCCUGAGAGGAAGUCCAUGGAGGUCCUCAGUGUGACCGAUGGUGGCUCCCCAGUCCCUGCCCGCCGAGCCAUCGAGAUGGCCCAGCAUGGCCAGAGUAAAGCCUUGUUCAGUAAAAGCCUGGAUAUCUCUGAAGCCCAUCCCAAAUUCAGCAAAGAAGACAGGAUGGCCAGUGCCAGUGCAUUGGGGUCCCGGUCAAUCAGUGGCGCCUCAUCGGGUCUUUCCACCAGCCCCCUCAGCAGUCCAAGGGUGACCCCUCACCCCUCUCCGAGGGGCAGCCCCCUCCCUACCCCCAAGGGAACGCCCGUCCACACGCCAAAGGAGAGCCCGGCGGGCACACCCAACCCCACCCCACCGUCCAGCCCCAGCAUCGGAGGGAUGCCCUGGAGGACACGCCUCAAUUCCAUCAAAAACAGUUUCCUGGGGUCUCCUCGAUUCCACAGGCGGAAACUGCAGGUACCUACUCCGGAGGAGAUGUCCAACCUGACUCCAGAAUCAUCCCCAGAGCUCGCCAAAAAGUCUUGGUUUGGGAACUUCAUCAACCUGGAGAAAGAAGAACAGAUCUUUGUGGUUAUCAAAGACAAGCCGCUGAGCUCCAUCAAGGCUGACAUCGUGCAUGCCUUCCUCUCGAUUCCCAGCCUCAGCCACAGCGUCAUCUCGCAGACGAGCUUCCGUGCAGAGUAUAAGUCAACAGGAGGACCGGCUGUCUUCCAGAAGCCGGUCAAGUUUCAAGUGGACAUCACCUACACGGAAGGUGGGGAGGCGCAGAAGGAGAACGGCAUCUACUCAGUCACUUUCACCCUUUUGUCAGGUCCGAGCCGUCGCUUUAAGAGGGUGGUGGAAACCAUUCAGGCCCAGCUGUUAAGCACACAUGACCAGCCAUCAGUCCAGCAAUUAUCAGAAACCCCCCAUUCAGCUCCAGGACUAAGCUGGGGAGCUGUGUUUAAGGGCCAGAAGGUGGCCACCAGCUACGAGAGUAGCCUCUGAGACUAUAGCAGACACCACUAACUGUAUGGAAUUGAUGACGGGGAGGCUUUCCAAAUGUGGAAUUAUCCCGCAAAGUUAACAUGUCACCACCUGCCGCCCGCCGCCUUCUGUGCUUGGAGGACACUUAUGGAUGGAAGGCAGCUGCUUCGGAUUCAGCCCCUCCUCCUCCUGACCCUCCCGGGGGUCCCCCCUCCUGCCUCGCUCCAUGGCCUGUGGGGCUAAUGGAACUCAGCUCAGUGAGGCCCACUGGAGGACCUCAACACCUCUUCUCUAGGGAGGGGUCAGCACAGCAACGGGCCUCCCAGCUACCUGCCUGAGGAUAGCCAAGAAUGGCCUCUGGAUCCUGGGAGGCCAGCCCUCCGCCAGCACCCGAGGGUGGGAGCCAGCACCCCCAAGGAGCAGCAUUAAUGACCCUCCAUCGUCCCAAGGCUCUCAGCCUGUCCUUUCUUCUCUUUGUUCCUCUGUCCUGUCUCACUUGCAUCUCCCCCAGCCUCUCCAUCUAGCUCCCCAUCUCUGCCUUUCUCUCUCUCUUUCCGUCUCUCUGUCCUUUCUUCGCAUUGUUUUUCGAUUCAGUUUUAUUUGGGGGCCUUGAGAUCGCACUGGCCUCAGAGAGCCCAUCCUAGCCAUUGUGGAGGGAGAGGGGGAAGCGUGUGACCCCAGCGCAGGGAGAGCCGCUGCAGCCCCAGCCCAGGUUGGCCUGGCCCAGAACGUUCAGGAGCGGAGGAGCCAGACCGAGGGCGUCGCACCGCCCAGCUGGACUGCCCCCCUGCCCGCCCCGCCCCGCCCCCAGCCUUGGGCUCCCCGGGGAGGGAGAGAGCCCGCUUGGAGGCUGCUGGUGCUGCACUGAGAUCAGUAUCCAUCCCUCGCUGUUUUCAUUUACAUGAUUUCUUUGGUUCUCUCUUCAGGGAAGAGGCAGUGUUCUCAGUCUGUCUGCUUGUCUGUCUUGGUGUCUGUCUGUACGGGCUUUGGCCUCGGGCCGCGGCCUGGGCUGCUGGGGGCUCCACAGACAAUGGCUCUCGGCAGAGCAGAGUGGAGGCAGGACCAGGGCAACACAAAGCUACUGUAAACUUGAAAAGAAAUCCUGCAAGAUAUUUUUAUAAACGUUUUUUCCUUGGUUCUUUUUGGAAAAGG
Dromiciops gliroides (monito del monte) is the source of this 3284-nucleotide RNA transcript. It is a transcript of the gene named BR serine/threonine kinase 2, with no coding region annotated. The transcript is spliced from 23 exons. The record is from RefSeq and is a predicted model, not a curated record. NCBI's taxonomy places the organism in Eukaryota, Metazoa, Chordata, Mammalia, Microbiotheria, Microbiotheriidae.